Heterocephalus glaber (naked mole-rat) is the source of this 12691-nucleotide non-coding RNA. NCBI's taxonomy places the organism in Eukaryota, Metazoa, Chordata, Mammalia, Rodentia, Bathyergidae. The record is from RefSeq and is a predicted model, not a curated record.
UGGCCAUCCUGGCUCCCCAUUUCUCUCUUUCAUUCUGCCUCUGAUUUUUUCUUGCAGCCAGGCAUCAUAGUACACAGCAGUAGAUCGGGACCUGCUGCAUGGGUCUCCAGUGUGUGUGUGUGUGUGUGUGUGUGUGUGCUGUUGUUUGCCAUUCAAUUAUCGUGGAAAGAUUUCAUUGCUAUUGUGAAAUCGGUUUAGUGAGUGUGUGUUUUUCAGUGCUGCACUCUGGUUGUGCUGAAUCAUAGGUUUUUUCCGUGUUCAGUUUGUUCAAGUUUUAAGAACAUCUGUAUCUGUGCUUUUCAAGGAUAUUUCUGUGCAGGUUAUUUUUCUGUGAUGUGUUUGUGUGUUUUCAAUAAUCACAGCAACAAUGAGCUCAUGAGUUGGGAAAUAUUUUUUCUUUUUAUAUUCUCAUGACUUUGUGUAAAAUUGAUAUAAUUUCUAACUACAUUGUGUAAAAUUGAUAUAAUUUCUAACUACAGUGUUCGGUAAAAUUCACCAGUGAAGCUAUUUGAGCCUGGAGGUAGUGGGAAGGUUUUAACCAAUUCAGUUUCUUCUACAGAUAGGAUGCUCAGGCCUAUAAGUUUGAAUCAUUCUUGUCUUUCAAGAAAUCAAAGUUGUUGCACUUAUUGGCCUGAAGUUCUCCCCUUAUCUCUUUAUCCUUUCAGGCUUUAGGAUCAACCAGUAGUGCUAUCCUGAUUGUUAAUUUCAGAACACAUUUCAUCAUAGUGAGAGAACAUCCUUUGUAUAAUUUAAAUCCUUUUAAAUUGAUUGAGAUGUAUUUUGUGUCUGUAACCAUGAGACUGUCUUUGGAAAUUUUCUUCCAUGUACACUUGAAACCAGUGAAUAUUACCCUGUUGUUUGGGUAGAAUAUUCCUGUGAAUGUCAAUCAGUACAAGUUUGUCCAUAAUGUCAAAAUCUUUGGAUCCUUACAAAUUCUGUUUAAUUUUUCUAUCAAACUGUGAGAAGGAUGUUGAAACAUCUGACUAUCACUGUGUAUUCAUUUGUCCUUUUAAUUUUUAUCAGUAUUUUGUGUAUUUGAAGCUGUGUUAUUAGGUGCAUAAAUGUUCUCCAUUUUUCUAUGUUUGUGAUUAAUUGAUGUCUUUCUCAUGAAACAAACUGUUUUACCCUUGGUGAUCAUCUUCACUCAGAAAAUGACUUUCCCUGAUGUUCGUGUUGCCACUCCAGCUGCCUUGAUUCAUCUGAACAGGGCACAGCUUUCUGCAUCCUCUUUUGACUAAGUUGUUCUUUUGUAUUUACAGAGGACUGUAACAUUGAUUUUGCCCAAAGCAGGCUGUAAAGAGUUGACCCCACAACUGGCUUGUUUAUAGAAGUGAGUCUGGCUGAAGCCUCCAUGCCAAGGUCAGAGUAACUCCCACCCAAAUUCUGUUCCCACAACUAAAACCUUGUGACUAGAAGGACAAUGUUCUAACGACAACCACAUAUUUUGCCUAUUCUGUUCCUAAUUUGAGAAUGCUUUGUCUUGUCCUUUCUGAGCCUUGUUUACAUUAAUUUCCAUAGAAACUGCACAUAACUUGCCUUUACUCCAAUUGAUUGCCAGUAAAAGUCAGUGCCUGGGACUGGCCAGGGCCUUUGUCUGUUGCACUGGCAUUGUUUAUCCUGGCAUCCAGCUUUCUCUCUCUUAGUUCUGUCCUUUAGUAUAUUUUUUUCUCAGGCCUUCAUCAUAUACUGGGCAGGAGACUGGAACCUAACUGCAGGGGUCUACAGUAGUGUUCAGAGAGGAUUUCUGGGCCAAUUAAGUAUAGAAGAAAACAUGGAAAGAAGAAAUUGUCCUUAGGCAAAUGCCAGAGUAUAAAUUACCAUGGGCACAUUGCAAUAGAGCACACUUCGUGAGUGAGCAGGAAGUGGAAGUGGGAUGUUCUAUGUGGGUCGUUUCCAAAUAGCUGGCUAUGAUAUCAAUAGCAGAGGUGGGAAAUAGUAAUUUCCUGUUGCAAAUCCUGGCAAAUGCUACCAUAGAGGAGAUGCAGAGUAACAUCAGCAGUUAUAGGACUGAGUGACACCAUACACCUCCUAAUGUGACACCUGGGGUGGGCAUGUCACCUCUUCUGUACUCUUGACAAAAACACCCCAUCUUAGUCUCAUCAAGAGGGGAUUCUGGCCAGCCAGCUGAGGGGCCUGUGCACAGGGAUGAGGGUGGGAUUCAUGGAAGACAGCAGACAGCCACAGAUGGGAGGGGACUGAGGUGUCCCAGCCACCAAAUACAAUGUGAGGUCCUAGAUAGAUCCUGGAAGUGACAGAUGGGUGCAGUCCAAGUGAACUCUCAAAUGAGACUAGCAAUAGCUUAAGAAUGUCCAUUUCCUAUUGCCAAUUAUCUUGCUGUGGUUCUCUUAGGUUCUGUCCGAAGGAGCCAGGCGAUGGCGUUUAUAGGAACUCUAUGCCCUUCUUUAAAUCUGAAAUUUCUUCUACAGAAAAGAUGUAAAAUAAAGCUAAUAAAUAGGUUUUUGUAGGCAGCAUAAUUCAUGUCAUCUGACAGUCUGUACCUUGUAACUGGUGAUUAAUAUAUGGUCAUUUCCAUGUGAUUACUCAGCUGCUUUGAGCCCGUCUUCCAGCUCUACUUUAUGUGCUCUUUGUUCACUCUUCCCUGAGUUUCUUCCUUCAUUUGGAUUAGUAUUUCCAUUUCUCUCUUGGCCAUCCCUCUGUUGUGUUGUGUGUAUGUGGUUGUCUUUGACAAUGACUCUUUCUGCCAAAGGCCUUCCCACAUUGCUUACAUACAUAGGGUUCCUCCCCAGUGUGAAUUCUUUCAUGUCUUUGAUGAUGGGCCUUUGUUGGGAAUGCUUUCCCACAGUGCUUACACACAUAAAGUUUCUCCCCAGUGUGAAUUUUUUCAUGGAUGUGACAAUAAUUGUGAGUGGCAAAUGUUUUUCCACACUGCUUACAUAGAUAGGUCCUCUCCCCAGUGUGUGUAUGUGUGUUUUCAUGUCAUUUACAAGUGCUGUUACUGGCGAAAGCUUUCCCACAGUGCCCUUAUACAAAUGGUUUUUCUCCAGUGUGAGUACUUUCACGUCUUUACCAAUGACUCUUUCUCCUGAAAGCUUUUCUAUAUUGCUUACAUACAUACAGCUUCUCUCUAUUGUGUAUUUGUUCAUGUCUUUUACAACUGUAUGAGCUGAAAGCUUUCCAACACUGCUUACAUUCAUAGGUUUCAGCUUCUUCUUUAGAUACAAAAGGCUUCUCUCCAAUGUCAGUUCCUUCACUGCAGUUAGAGUAGGAUUUCCCACAUUGCUUAUAUUCAUAGGGUUUCUUUCCAGGACUUGAUGUUGCGUGCUUCUGAAAGGACUGGAAAUCACUGCAGGUUUCCCCAUGUUCAUUACACCUAGACAGCUUCACUUCCAGUACCUGAUUCUCAUAUGACGUGAGUGUACUAUGAGCUCUGAUGGGCACAUUUGUUGAUGCAUGACCAAUCCAGGAAUUUCUACAAGCAAGGCUUUCUGCUGGCUGUGUACCAAGUGUUUUCGUGUUAACAUUACGGUCUGGAGUCCAAAAAGACAUUUCUUUAUGUGAAUUCCGUAAUUUAUAUUGGUAGCAUUCCUCUACAUCUUCACUUCUUAGAUUUCUUCUCCAAUAUUCACUACCGUUUUCAAUUUGCUGGUCAGUCUAGUUUUCUUCUAUAGCAGACAUGUUCUUCAAUAGUUCCAACAUCACAUCUCUGUAGAGCUUCUUUUGGGAUGGAUCCAGCAAAUCCCAUUCCUCCAAAGAAAAGUUCACAGCCACAUCCUCAAAGGUCACUGCCUCCAUUGUGUGGCGUCAGUGUCACCUAGGGUCCUUCCCAUGCAGCACAGAGCCAGUAGAAGCCAUGGAGCAACAUGGUCAAGACAGGUGGUGUAGAUCUCAGUAAUGUGCCCAGGUUGCAGAAGUAUGUGCCAUGACACUGCAAGAGUCCUACUUCCUGCUCCCCUCUGCUUGAACAGGUCAUUGUAUGUGGCUGUCUUCAAGUAUUGGCGUAGGACUGCCAGGCCUCCCUUCAGUGCCCAUCCCCCAUGCUGCAUGUGCCCGGGAACAGUGCAACAUUUCUGCCUUCCUGCUUGCAUGCUGCUGUUUCCUAUGUUUUCUUUCUUUGCUCAUUGUAGACCCUGCCAUGCCUUGCUGUCAUUAUUCUUUUCACUGGGAUAAAAUGUGCCUCACAUGAACUGGCCCCCAUUACCCUGGACUGCACAGCCCCAUGGCAUCAGGUGCAUCACAGUGCUGGGCAACUGUCUCCACUGUGCAUCUCUGCCGUGCCUGCGUCAUGGGAUGGCUUUCCUCUAGAAAGCAUUGAUUUGUCUUCUCCAGUAAUUGAAAGCAUAAUAGACUGAGGUUUUAUGGCCACCACUUGUUGCCCUUCCUGGCAAUCCUCAUGCUCAUGUUGGGGGCAUCAUGGGAGGCCUUCCUCUCCUGUCCCACACUGAGCAGCUCUGCGGGGGAGGGACACGCUCACCUUCCGUGUGUGUGCAGGGUCCUCUGUCAGGAGAGCCCUCUGUGCUGACAGCAGCAUCCCUCCAGCCUGGUGGCCAGACUGUACCAUGAAGUGUUUAUCUGUGCAGCACACAGGUGAGUGAAGAGUUAUUACACUGGGUGAGGGGGCCAGACUAAAGCACCCAUGACCUGUGAACUCGUGUUUGUAAGACUCAAAGCUCUAAGCAAUUUAAAGACUACAAAGAGACCCAUGGGUGGCUGGACUGUACGUGGAGAACAUAAGGCCUAAAAGUAACAACAAGGCAGGUGGGGGAGCCUCCAAUUCAGGCCUGCAGUUUUCAGAGACUUUUCCUGGGCCAGAGAGUGUGGAAGCCACUGUGCUGGAGGUGGCUCUCCGGGUCUCUGCAGUCACAUGUCUCCUCCUCUUGUUGCUUCUUGCCUGUCUGUGUCCCUGUAGGAUGGUGUCCCCCAGACCUACCCAUGUUCUCUGAAUGGAAAGCAUCAGUUUUUCCAGACAGAGCUCAGGAUAUGAGAGGAGGAAGGGCAGAGGUGUUUUUAUUGAACGCAGGCUGGGGUGGAUGCUUAGCCGGGGCCUGGGGACAACACCACAGCCUGACCUGCACCUGCAGGGACACAGCUGUCCCUGUGUGUGGAUGGCACCCUCUGCUGGCAGGAGGCUGCCCAUCUGUGCCAUAUGGUCAAGGCUGGGUGUGUGUGUGUGUGUGUGUGUGUGUGUGUGUGUGUGUGUGUUGGCCUUGACCUGAGUCCCUGGGUCAGCUCAUCAUUUAUAAAAUGGACACAAGGCCCCAGGUGCCCUCCGGAAGUUGAAGAUCUCAUGGAAACUGUGUAAGUUCAGUGGGUCUGGGGUUUGGAUUCUUUGGUCCUUUGUUCUCUGUCCUGGAGCAGUGAUUCCCAGCCGGCCCCCAUCUUGCACCCCAGGGAGAGAGCUCUGGCUGGGGUUGUGCAGACCCAGGGGCGGGAGUCUGCUCAGCUUCCUGCAGGUGGAGGCCACUGAUGAGUGGGCCUUGGUCCAAACAAGAUCCCAGGAGACGGAGGGGUGGGGCGUUCCGGGAGAGUCAGGAGACCUGGGACAGAGGGGAGGACCAACCCCAUUUCCGGGACAGUCCCCGCUGUGUGGUGCAUCUGGGUGUGCAAGUGGAGCACACCCAGCUCUGCUCUGAUGACUGGACAGUGCAGGCACUGAGCUUCCUGUGUCCCCAGCCUCUUCUGCCCUCCCUCCUACCUCUCCUGUCCUGCAUCCUUCUUUGAGAGGGAAGCCACAAGGGCCUGGGUGCUGGCCCAGGGGCAUGGCCUCUCCCCACCCUCCUCUGAUGUGUCCUUCCUGUGACCUCUGCUGCUGGGGUCCCUUGUGCUUCCCUCCUCCACUGCCUUUGGACGCAUUCCCCAGCCCCCCAGCCUGUGAGAGGAAGGGACACAUACACAGGUUGCCUAGAAGUGAACAGCUUGACUAGAAGCACACAGAACACAUCUCAGCAGAGGACAGACAGGCCGUGGUGGCAGCAGAGGGCACAGGGGUCACUUCUGUGCAGCUGUCACUUCUGUCACCUGGAGGGCCAGGAACAGUCCUCCCUGGUCCCUCUUUUAGGGUGAAGAGUGAGCCUGGCUGAGGACGUGUCUUCUCAGCAGCUUCUGAGGAUAGCCCCUAAGCCAUGCAAGGUCAGCAGUGACCGCACUCUGGGACCAUGGAGGCCAGGCUAACCCACAGCAGUACAGCUUUGUGGGGAGACCUGCAACAGGGAGAAGCUCAGGCUACAGAGGGAUAAGGGUUCUGAGGUGCCCUGGGCACCCUGGUAAGUGGCUUCCAAGGGGCUGGGCUCUCAGGGACCUUCUAGUCCUCUAGGGGCACAGGAAGGACCUCGGUGUAUGCAAGGGGUGAGGGCAGCUGCUUCCCGUGUCCCUAGCCCCUUGCUGCUCCUGGCCCUAUGGUCUUCAUGUGGGGCCACAGCACUGGGAACAGAAGUGAGGCAGGGAGGCGGGGCACUGGGGCUUCCAAGUACUUCAGGAGAAGAUGACAUCAAUGUGGACCAGGGACCAGCUGACUCAGGUCCCGUCCUGAUCAAGAACCGCUGUGGUGGACCAGUGAGUUCAGACAAUAGAGGUGCGCCAUACUCUGUGCCAGAUUCGAGCCCAUUUAUUAUAGCUGGCGGUCGAGGGGGGCCGGUGCCCUAGAAAGUUUCCUGGGCAAUGGGAAGCAGUUUGAUUUCUCCUUUUAAAUCAUGCUUUCAGUUGAGGAGGGCUCAGGGGAGAGCAAGAGGAAUCUUACAGAAGCAGAAACAUGCCAGGCUAGUGGGGGGUACAAGGAAGUUUCACACACACCAGGUGAGCUACAGAACAUCCUGCAACAGCAGCAAGUUUACUGCCAGGCAGGAUGUGGGGGUUGGGGAUGCUUUGUUCAUGUGCAAGCACUGUGUUCAAGCACAGGUACAAAGUGACAUUGAGGCACAAGAUGGAGUCAGCUUGGCUAUCACACUACAUGCGUGGGUGAUGGUCACCACCCCACUCAGGUCCCACUGUGGAGGUGGCCACCUCCAUUAAGGCUGGGUGUGUCCUGGCCACUGGAGGAGCCCUUGCCAGCCUCCCCCCCAGGAUGCUGCCUGUGUCCCUGUGUCCUGGUGUCCCCAUGUAUGACAGUGCUCUCCUCACAGCAGCUUUGGGAAGCAGGAUGAAGGGGCAGGAAAGGGUGCCUGGGGGCCCCUGGGGACUCAUCGAGGCAGACUGGGGUGGCUGCAUUCUCACCAUGGAGCUGUGGGGUCCGAGGUGGUGUGGAGCCCCAGGUGGAGCCGGUAGAGGCCUAUGGGUGGGCUCAGCCCUGGACACCAGAGAUGGGGGUGGGGGAGGGGGGCUGAGGACUGGAGGAAGUUCUGUAACGUGGUCACAGUCAUGGCCCAGAGUGGCUGCCCCUUAACCCCACAUGUACCUGUGGUUCCUCCUGGAGACCAUGGAGUGAGAUUUGCUGAACAGAAUAGACUGUUGACCCGGCUUGGCUCAAUUCAGAAGAAAUAAAGGAUCACAAAUACAUAGAAGAGACCAGAGAGAAAACCCAGGCUUCAAACUCCAGCCUCAGACUCUCAAAGGCACAGCCCUCCAUGGCCCCAGGGCCUUUGCCGUCACUAUUCUCCAGGCCUGAGUCACUUUUGCUCCUCCUCACUGUCCCUCUCCACAGCAUGUGUUGCCAUCUGACUGUGUACUCGGGUGGGUUCCUGAGUCUCCCUCACCAGGCUGCCAGCCCCUUUACUGGGUUUCACUUCUCUCUCCGCCUCUAGUCCCCAGCACUCCUGCCUCCUGUGGCUGGGCUGUCCCCGCUCUGGGAGUGGGGGCAUCGGGCUCUCUUCCUGUGGCUCCAUCCUGCUGUGUGGGUCUCACACACCCCACUGGGAAUCUCUCUCCAGUGACAGAAGGAUUAGAGCCCUUGCUGCCUUUGUAAUGUGUCUCCUGGGUCUCAGGCCUCCAUGGAGACCCCGUGAGCCUGUAGGGCAGACACCAUUCUCGUGCCCACUUAGAGGAGGAAGCUGAGGGUCCCAGGGGGUGAGGAACUCAGACCAGUGAGUGACCUGGGUUUCGGGCCAGGCUCUGUGGCACAUGUGACAUGGCCCCUUCUGACUGCUCAGGCCCUGCUCCACCUCCCAGCAGCUGGUCCAAAGCUCUGUCCCCAUGGGCCAAUCCCCUCCUGCAGAGGUGAAGAGCUAUGUGCCUGUGCUCUGAUCCCCAAUGGCCCAGCCCCCCUGCCCUUUGGAGGACACUCCCUGGCCAUGCAGCUGGGCUAGACCAGUCCUGGAGGCUCCCACAUACUGCAGAGGGUCCUGGGUCCCAGGGACAGAGCUGCUCUUCUAUGAACUGUGAUCAUUCUGAGAAAGGUCCAGGUGCUGGGCUGGGGUCUCAGUAGGAAGAUCUCACACCACGGGCUUCUUCCCAGAGCUCCCUGUCUGUCAUGCAGCAGAGCUCUGGGCCCCCCUGCGCAUGGUACUGGUGACACAGGUGUCACUGAUGAGACAGGUGUGGAGAUGCUGAGGCAGAUGCCAGCUCCUAGGAGCGCUGAAGCACUCAGCAUGACUGAGUCUUGCUGGUGCUCUGAAGCCAGCCCCCAGCAGAACUGGGUCUCCCAGGGCUCCCAUGGGAAGUUGUGGCAGCCCCCAGGUGGCACCUGUGCUGGUUCCAGCUAGCUGCAUCAGUGGGUGGGAGAGGCAGGCAGGGGGCAGGGGCUGCUGGGUCAUCAGGAAUCUGGGCCAGGGAGUAGGCUGCUGCCAGGAGGGGUGCUGCAGGCUUGGAUGGCAUCAGGAAAACCUUGGUGCUCAUCCUGCAAAGAUGAGCCCUGAACUGUGAGAGGAAACAGACCCUUUAGGUACAGCCAUUUCCUGUGGAGUGGCCCUCGCAUGCCCUCUAGUGACAAAGUUGUGUCAUCCCAGCACAACAGAGGUCCAACCUGUGUCCAGGAGCCAGGAGAGGGGAGAGGAGGGUUUGGAACUGAGUCAGCAAGUUGACAGCUGUGAGUGAGUGACAAACUCUAGAGUCAUGGUCACAGCAUGUGUCACUGGUGAAGAGAGGCAAGAGAACCUAGGCAUGGCCUUGCCAGGGAGCCAAGGAAUGGGUGGAAAGGAGACCUGGGAGCAGGAGGGUGCGAGGAGAAGGGCACAGGGAUGGAGGUGAGAUUUUGUCAAAGUAGCUUCCAAUGCGGUUUCAAACUGUGCACAGGGAAGUAUUUUACAUGUUCAGAACUUACCGUUAACUCGGCAUGGUGAUGCACACCUGUAAUCCCAGCAUUCUGGGAGGCUGAAGCAGGAGAAUCACAAGUUCAAGGCCACCCUGGGCAACCUAGCAAGACCCAGGCCCUGCCUCAAAAUAAAAAAUGAAAAAGAAGCCUAGAUGGUCAGUGGUAGAUGGCCCCUGCAUUUCAUCACCAGUACUGAAAAAAAGAAAAAACCCAAAGCAGUCUCUGCUUCCCAAGUCAUGACCAGACACUCAUGGUGACCUGGCCUCAAUGGCAGAGACACGGCUGGCUGCACCCUUUGUCCAGAGCCACUGGGGCCCCACCUGGGAGAACCAUGUGCUUAGAGCAUCUCCUCCACAGCCGGAGCACAGGGACCACACAGGAGGGCUGCCCGGGCUCAGGGUCACCUCCUGGAGCAAGGUGUCACCCUGCUUCAGCCUCCCAAGCAGUUGGACUACAGGUGGGCCCCAGCACACCUGGCCCAAGUCAAAACCAGCAGGAUAAAGGAAGCCUCAGGCCACCAAAGAAAGAUGGUGGGCAUCAGACUGGCUCAUUCAACUCUGCCCCCAAGGGUGACCUGACAUGGGCCUGGCCCUCUCAGAGCUGUGAUGUGGCCCAGGCUGGCCUCAAACUCAUGGUGAUCCUCCUGCCUCAGCCUUCUGAGUGCUAGAAUUACAGGUGUGCACCACCACAUCCCACUUUGUGGCCAAGUUUUUAAACUGGCAAGUAUUGACUUCAUUACAUUACAUUGUAUUUUCAGAAACGUGAAAUGUAUUUGUUGAACUCUGUAGGGUUUUUUGUUUAAUCUUUUCCUUACAUAUAUUUUCAUUAUUUGAAUAGCUCAGUUAUUUUCAGCGAUCUUUUCUGAAUGGUGCAUGUGUGGUACUGGGGUUUGAAGCCAGGGCCUUUGCACUGAGCUAUGUAUAUGCCACCCCCUUUUUAUUUUCUGUUUUGAGACAGGAUCUUGCUAAGUCAAUAAGUUACCCGGCCUGGGCUCGAACUUGCAAUCCUUCUGCCUUGAGUGCUGGUGAUUUGCCACCACACCUGGUGGCUUCCCAGGUAUUUGUAUUCACUUCAUUUUGUAAAUAUAGCUGUCCAGGUUUUGUCCUAACUUUAAAAAUUACAUCUUGAUUCAUGUGUAUUAAUUUAGUAGCCAAUCUUCUUGAUGAAUUUCCUUAAUGCUUGGUUUUUUUGUCAGUUCUCUUCAUGCCAAUAGAAAUAAUUCACCUCCUCCUCUUCAAUUCUUGGACCUCUAAACAUUUCUGAUUGUACCAUCAGAAACCUCCCAUACAGUAAGUGAAGAUGAUGGCUGUCCUGGCUGGCUUGUGCUGCUGUGGACAGGGUGGCAUAUAAUGAACAGGAACGGACUUCUCACAGCGCUGCAGGCUGGGAGCCCAUGACUAGCAACCAGAAGGAAGAAACUAAGAUAAGGGGUUUUCCUCUGCUUGUACACAUCUGUCCGUAACCUUUCUGAACAUCUCUCAGAUGUGGAGUUGGUUGGGGCCAGCUUGGUGAUCCACUGUAGAUGGAGCUGGCACUGUUCCUCACAGUCCUGUGGCUUCUUGGAAGGUAAGGUGUUCGUUCCAACCUGAUGCAGGACCAAGCUCGGUCUGGAUUGGUCCAUGGGCUCUGAGUGGGUGUGGCAUGAGCAAAGGCUUACAAAGCGCUGUCCUGGUCAGGGUUGCCUUUCCCUGGAGGUGCUGGCAGUGCAGGUUCUCAGUGGCUCUGCAGCCUUUGGCCAAGCACAGCAUUCACCUCAAACAGGUUCUGACUCAAGGAGCAUGGGGGUCCCUUGGGCAGGCUCAGAGCUCACCCCUCUAAGAUCUGUUAAACGCCCAUCAAUCUGCAGGUCCAUGGCUGAGAAAUACAUGUUUAUUGUUCAACGCUGUUAAGGUUUGGGGUGAUGGUCACCCGGAUCGCUAUGGGAAUAGUUGACUGACUCAUGAACUGAUCCUAAAAUAUUUUUCUUGUAAUAGGGAAGCCAUGCACAUUUCCAUGUGGUGACAGGACUGCAGUGGGCCCCUUUGCUCUGUGGCUGUUAGUGCUUCGUGUCUCCCCAUGUGCCCAUGGCAUGCUGGGGGCCGGGCCCAUGAGGCGCUGCUCUCUCCCUUGCUGUGGUUUUUGUUUCUGUAGGAAGAGGCCGUGGGUUCAUUCCAGAGGUACAUUGUAGCUCUCUGUACAUAGGGCAUUUACCAGGGGCACUGGUGCGCUCCGUCCCUGGGGCAGAAACUUCCCCAGUGUGCCAGAAGUAAGCCAGAGACCUGGAAAGGCUGGUGGUGUCAUCGUUCAAGUCCUCAGGCCUGGGAACCUGGGAGCCGGGGUGUGAUGCUCAGUCCUGAGCCAAAGGCCUGAGUGUGAAGGCACAGGAACCGGGUGUGACACAGAGGUGGGAUAUGUGGUCUUGGCUCAGCGUCCCAGUCCCGAGGCCAGAUGAUGCCCAUUCCCAGGCAUGAGGGUUGGUCCUCUUUGUCGGCACACAGAGCACCUGGAAAGGGGCGCGUCCCUAGCCCCAGCACAGCUUCUUUGUGUGAAUUGGAAGACAGGGGCCCACUAGAGACACACUCUCCAGGGCUGUGCUGGGGAUCGAACUCAGGACCUUGCGCUUACAAGGCAGGUGGCAGAACCAUUGAGCUGAAUCCCUGGCCCAGCCCCUCCUUUCUUAAUUAGCCCCUUCCUAUUUAGGAUGAUCAGGUUUAAGCACCAUCACUUGACUCUCAGCUGUUAGUGCAGCGGGGGAAGAAGCCAACUCUGAUCUUCACAUCCUCCCUUCUCUCCCCAGGAAGAAAGUGGUGCUGUCUGUUCUGCCCGCACAGGGGGCACAGGUCGGCCUCCUGUCCCAGCUUCUGCUUCCUUUCCAUGCACAACUGAGCAUCAUCUGCCCUCACUGCAUCUCUCCAAAGUGCUCUCGGCUGGGUGUUCAUCCUCCAAAGGCAAACAUCCCUCAGAGAGGCUGCGAAUGGCAGCCUUGUGUGAGUCCUCUGCAUGUUGACUGGAGCUGGAUGUUCUGGGGCCAGCAUGGCAGGAAGACAGCGGGCCAGGGCCAGGGCUUGGGCUGUGUCUCAACAGUGGCCCUUGUGCUUCUCUGGGGACCUGUGGCUCUAGAACGAAGUGUUGUACCCAGGCCGUGAGGACCCCGAAGACAACCAAGGAGCCGAUUCCGAUGCAAACACACAAGGGUCGUUUAUUCAAGCUCGAGCAGGGACUCUCAACUGUCACUGAUGCAGCGGGUCAAGAUUGAGAGCCCCUAACUCCAAAUCAGCAGGGGUUUUUAUAGUGGUUACAGCAAGGUUCGGGGAGUUCCAGUUUGGAAAUUACAUGAUUGGCUGAUAUUUAGCAAGUUUUGAAUGUUUAAACCUGAUUGGCUGUGCCUCACGGGCCGAACUGCAAACGGCUGCUCAAGCUAUCGAAAAGAACAUCUGGGACACUGGGGUAUUGGGGUAACUACUGAUUAGCUGUUGUAAGCCAUCGAGAAGAGUAUCUGGGACAUUGGGAUAGCUACUGAUUGGCUGUUGCUAGGGGACUGUUGAACAUUAUCACAAGCAGGUGGUCAAAGUA